This 212-nucleotide long non-coding RNA is filed under the name Phoenix dactylifera (date palm). RNAcentral describes it as "long non-coding RNA (PDAC_LNC009513)". Lineage: Eukaryota; Viridiplantae; Streptophyta; Magnoliopsida; Arecales; Arecaceae. The record is from RNAcentral.
AGUCCCCUUAAAAGCUGGAGGAGCCAGCCUCUUAAAUUCAGCUAUAUUGCUACGCUGUUCACACUGUUCCCCUCGUCCUUGCUGUGGCUGUGUCUGGGGCAACUGCACUUGUUGUUGGAGCAACUGCUGUUGCACCUGCUGUUGCAUCUGCAUAAGGCCCACUAUGGUCUGCAUAACUUGGCCUAGGCCCGGUUCUUGUUGUCCUAUCUGAG